RNAcentral lists this ribosomal RNA (239 nucleotides) under uncultured Pseudomonadota bacterium. RNAcentral's name for it is "uncultured proteobacterium partial 16S ribosomal RNA". It matches the Rfam family "Bacterial small subunit ribosomal RNA", at positions 560 to 792 of the family's 1533-position model. Lineage: Bacteria; Pseudomonadati; Pseudomonadota. The record is from RNAcentral.
UUGGUUAAGUGUGCGUAGGCGGUUUCAUAAGCUUGAUGUGAAAGCCCCGGCGUUAACCUGGGAAGUGGCAUUGAGGACUGUGGAGCUGGAGUGCGGCAGAGGGAGGUGGAAUUCCACGUGUAGCAGUGAAAUGCGUAGAGAUGUGGAGGAACACCGAUGGCGAAGGCAGCCUCCUGGGCCGACACUGACGCUGAGGGCACGAAAGCGUGGGAGCAAAACAGGAUUAGAUACCCCUAGUA